RNAcentral lists this microRNA (22 nucleotides) under Salmo salar (Atlantic salmon). RNAcentral describes it as "ssa-miR-26a-6-3p". Its record names the gene ssa-miR-26a-6-3p. The record is from miRBase by way of RNAcentral. Lineage: Eukaryota; Metazoa; Chordata; Actinopteri; Salmoniformes; Salmonidae.
CCUAUUCAUGAUUACUUGUACU